RNAcentral lists this ribosomal RNA (324 nucleotides) under uncultured eukaryote. Its description in RNAcentral is "partial 18S ribosomal RNA". It matches the Rfam family "Eukaryotic small subunit ribosomal RNA", at positions 1470 to 1796 of the family's 1831-position model. The record is from RNAcentral.
CCCUUAGAUGUUCUGGGCCGCACGCGCGCUACACUGAUGCAUUCAACGAGCCUAUCCUUGACCGACAGGUCCGGGUAAUCUUUGAAUCUGCAUCGUGACGGGGAUAGAUUAUUGCAAUUAUUAAUCUUGAACGAGGAAUUCCUAGUAAACGCAAAUCAUCAAUUUGCAUUGAUUACGUCCCUGCCCUUUGUACACACCGCCCGUCGCACCUACCGAUUGAAUGGUCCGGUGAAGCCUCGGGAUUGUGGCCAGUUCACUUUAUUGGGAGUUGGCUGUGAGAACUUGUCUAAACCUUAUCAUUUAGAGGAAGGUGAAGUCGUAACA